RNAcentral lists this ribosomal RNA (281 nucleotides) under uncultured bacterium. RNAcentral's name for it is "partial 16S ribosomal RNA". It matches the Rfam family "Bacterial small subunit ribosomal RNA", at positions 335 to 631 of the family's 1533-position model. The record is from RNAcentral.
CACCUACGGGGGGCAGCAGUGGGGAAUAUUGGGCAAUGGGCGCAAGCCUGACCCAGCAACGCCGCGUGAAGGAAGAAGGCUUUCGGGUUGUAAAUUUCUUUUCUCAGGGACGAAGCAAGUGACGGUACCUGAGGAAUAAGCCACGGCUAACUACGUGCCAGCAGCCGCGGUAAUACGUAGGUGGCAAGCGUUAUCCGGAUUUACUGGGUGUAAAGGGCGUGUAGGCGGGGUUGCACGUCAGAUGGGAAAACCACGGGCUCAACCUGCGGCCUGCAUGUGCA